AACGAACGCUGGCGGCAUGCCUAACACAUGCAAGUCGAACGGGAUCCUAGCUUGCUAGGUGAGAGUGGCGGACGGGUGAGUAACACGUGGGAAUCUGCCCUUUGGUCCGGGAUAACCGCGGGAAACUGCGGCUAAUACCGGAUGCCCUCGUGAGAGGAAAGAUUUAUCGCCAGAGGAGGAGCCCGCGUCCGAUUAGGUAGUUGGUGGGGUAAAGGCCUACCAAGCCGACGAUCGGUAGCUGGUCUGAGAGGAUGAUCAGCCACACUGGGACUGAGAUACGGCCCAGACUCCUACGGGAGGCAGCAGUGGGGAAUAUUGGACAAUGGGGGCAACCCUGAUCCAGCAAUGCCGCGUGAGUGAUGAAGGCCUUAGGGUUGUAAAGCUCUUUUGCCAGGGAAGAUGAUGACUGUACCUGGAGAAUAAGCCCCGGCUAACUUCGUGCCAGCCGCCGCAGUAA
This 457-nucleotide ribosomal RNA is filed under the name uncultured bacterium. RNAcentral describes it as "partial 16S ribosomal RNA". It matches the Rfam family "Bacterial small subunit ribosomal RNA", at positions 29 to 523 of the family's 1533-position model. The record is from RNAcentral.